Molecule: ribosomal RNA, 558 nt
Filed under: uncultured bacterium
Lineage: Bacteria
Description: partial 16S ribosomal RNA
Rfam family: Bacterial small subunit ribosomal RNA
Source: RNAcentral
UGGGGAAUUUUGGACAAUGGGCGAAAGCCUGAUCCAGCAAUGCCGCGUGUGUGAAGAAGGCCUUCGGGUUGUAAAGCACUUUUGUCCGGAAAGAAAUCCUUGGCUCUAAUACAGUCGGGGGAUGACGGUACCGGAAGAAUAAGCACCGGCUAACUACGUGCCAGCAGCCGCGGUAAUACGUAGGGUGCAAGCGUUAAUCGGAAUUACUGGGCGUAAAGCGUACGCAGGCGGUUUGCUAAGACCGAUGUGAAAUCCCCGGGCUCAACCUGGGAACUGCAUUGGUGACUGGCAGGCUAGAGUAUGGCAGAGGGGGGUUAGAAUUCCACGUGUAGCAGUGAAAUGCGUAGAGAUGUGGAGGAAUACCGAUGGCGAAGGCAGCCCCCUGGGGCCAAUACUGACGCUCAUGCACGAAAGCGUGGGGGAGCAAACAGGAUUAGAUACCCUGGUAGUCCACGCCCUAAACGAUGUCAACUAGUUGUUGGGGAUUCAUUUCCUUAGUAACGUAGCUAACGCGUGAAGUUGACCGCCUGGGGGAGUACGGUCGCAAGAUUAAAACUU